AAAUGAAACAGUAGUACUCUGUGGAAAUCACGUGUAGGAUGAUGUGCUAUGAGUGUCCAACGACCACACACCACGCCUGAAUUAUGUAUGCAGUAUGUUGCUCAGAACAGCUUUAGUCUCUGUACUCGCUGUCCAUGGUGCUGAUCUGUUACGCUCGCUCUAUGUCCUCUCUCAUAGGAAACAGAGAGCUUUGGUUGAGUUCAGUCAUUGCUCUCGUCUUUCUCACGAGGUUUGCUACUGGAAGUCUGUCCCUCUUGCUAAAUCUCCCAUCUAACAGUGAAAAGAAUUUGAAGGCAUGAGAAAGAUGGUACCCUAUAUUAUGAAUCAGCAACACUGGGCCUAGAUUUCCAAGGUAACCAUCAGACUUCAAAAGACAAUCUUUAUACUUCAGUCCAUUUAUUUUCUUUAUCCGCAAGAAUAAUUGUUGGCAUGGCAACAGGGCUUGGUUAUAUCCCCCUCAGAUUUCUCUUUAAGCCUUAUUAAUUCGGCAGUGACUUAAACAAAUCACAGUCCACAUCUCCAUGGAGAUUCUUCUGGAACAUUUAACGUUGACCUAGACUUGUCUCGUGCCCCUGUGCUGCCAGCCAGUCAGUUCUUCUAUUGAUGUGUGUAGGCCUAUUUCCGUUGGCAUUUCCCCUGUGUGCUAGGAGUGAGUGUGUGUCUGUCUCUCACUGUGUUUUCUAUGACAGAUUGAAAGAGAGCUAGAUAAAUACAGUACUGUAUCUGUGCGCUUCCCCUUCUCCUCUGCGCCUCACUCCCCACGCGCCUGUCCCUGUCGCUCCGCCGCCGCCGCUGCUCCUUUUGAAUCACACACAAGCGCGCGCCUAGUUAUCCACCAAGUGAUAAUUGCGCAGCUGAUUGUUUUCUGCGGAAUUUCAACGGAAAUAAACAGCUGGAAGUAAGCAAUAUAGUUUUCCGGUUUUCGAGGUUAAAUUGCCAUUUCGACAAACAUUCACUGUUUUUCCCCACGCGGGGGACUGUGAUUGUAUCAGACUAACUCUUCCGUUUGCCAGAGAGACAUUCUGGAACGUACCGGGAACCAGGAGGGAGUUGUCAGUCAACACGCUUCAGGGAAAGCCUCCGCCCGUUGGGUUUGACGUUAACUGCUCGGUGUUGGGGUUCUCGCGCUCUCCACUCGCCUGAAGUGAUGUGAAUUCUCCGUAGUUGGAGAAGAACGUUCAGACUUGUGCCGCGAGACAAGGAACGCCAGACAGCCAGUGUGGACUUGGGAUUUCAAUAGACUCAUGUGAAAACAUUAUCGUCUGUGGAUUCAGAGGUGGCGAGAAAAGGGACGACGUGCGUUUUGUUAUUUUAAGCAUUAAUAAUAACCUAACCACAUUAAACUGUAAGGAAACCCAUUCAUUGUUUUUUGUCUUUGCCUUGUUCCAAAAAAAUGAAGGUUGAAUGUUAAUGGUGCAGUUGUUGAAUCAUUUUGACCCGUUUUCGUUAUCUUGGAGGAAAUGGCUUGACUCCGGUGGUGAGAGGAGGAGAAAAGGGGGCAUAUCACCAUCUGCGAGGGACUUCCAAUGCUCUCUCCAUCGAUCACCAGUCGAUUUACCCACAUUGAAGAAUAACGAUACGGCACAACAAGUUCUAGUGGAUAGCCUACAUACAAUAGUCGGUUCGCGUGGUGCGCAGGGGACGCCAACGCGAGCCUUCAUGGAUAGAUUAUCUCUGUAAAUCAACUUGGAUACAACGUUUAUCAUACUUUAAAACCCAGCAAAAACGGACCAGGUUGGAGAAUAUUAUUCAUAAAGCGAAAUUAAGUAUGUGGAUUAUUGUUCCCAAGAGACAGUCAUUGCGCGCCGACAUGGUGUACUGAGGAGUUGUUAAAGCUACAAAGAAUAUCCGAGCCGAUUCUGAUCUUCUCGCUUUGAAACCGACCGCCGCCCCGUGUUUUUAAGUGCACAGGUGGUCCAUCAUUUUAAGGUCGCACCAUUUGCAACUAUGUUAUGUGAAUGUCUUCACCGUCUCAGCUGGAAUGUGUAUACUUCGGAUUCCCUGACUUAUUCCUUACUGGAUAUUGGCAACUGUUUUGGGGAUUUGAGCAAGUUAAGAUAGAAGACAUAGAAGAAAACAGAAGAAUAUUCUCGGUGUUGUGUGAGAAUUUCCCUCUUCUCCUCAACGACUGGCGACGCAGCACUCAUUGAUGUCAGAAAAGAAUCUGUCAGCAGUAUUUUGCAGAGGGGGCAUUGCAGACAAGGCACAUUCUCCCUAUCAGGGACUGAUGUAGACCUGGG
Molecule: long non-coding RNA, 2240 nt
Filed under: Salmo salar (Atlantic salmon)
Lineage: Eukaryota; Metazoa; Chordata; Actinopteri; Salmoniformes; Salmonidae
Description: lncRNA (ENSSSAG00000089516.1)
Source: RNAcentral